RNAcentral lists this ribosomal RNA (3894 nucleotides) under Triticum aestivum (bread wheat). RNAcentral describes it as "partial small subunit ribosomal RNA". The record is from RNAcentral. Lineage: Eukaryota; Viridiplantae; Streptophyta; Magnoliopsida; Poales; Poaceae.
AUGUCUCCGCCGCCGGCGUCGCCCGCGCUCUCCGCGCAGAAGCUCACCACCAACGACGCCCUCGCCUACCUCAAGGCCGUCAAGGACAAGUUCCACGACAACCGCGCCAAGUACGACGAGUUCCUCGAGGUCAUGCGCGACUUCAAGAGCGCCAGGAUCGACACGGCGGGCGUCAUCAUCCGGGUGAAGACGCUCUUCAGCGGCUACCCGGAGCUCAUCCUCGGCUUCAACGCCUUCCUGCCCAAGGGCUUCGCCAUCAAGCUGCAGGACAUCGACGGCGGCGCCGCCGGCGACAAGAAGCAGCCCGUCGACUUCAUGGAGGCCAUCAACUUCGUCAACAAGAUCAAGGCCAGGUUCCAGGCCCAGGACCACGUCUACAAGGCCUUCCUCGCCAUCCUCAACAUGUACCGCAUGCACAACAAGUCCAUCCAGGACGUAUACCAGGAGGUUGCUAUGCUGUUCCAUGACCACGCCGACCUGCUCGAGGAGUUCAAGCAUUUCUUGCCUGAUACGUCCAACGCUCCGCAAGUGCUGGCCGCUCCUAAAGCCGUUUCCGCCAAACAGGAGGCCCCCGCACCGCCUUCUGCCAGUGCCAGGAAUGUGCAGAGCAUCAAGAGAGAGAGGCCUCAGCCGUCAACUGCUGAGCGCGACAGCAGUGUUGAUCGCCCUGAUCUCGAGCAUGACCCCGACAGGAAGCGUGUCGACAAGGAAAAGGAUCAUAAGAUCGACCGGGACAGAAAAGAUCAUGACAAGGAUGCUGAGUACGAAAGCAAAGAUUUGGAUGGGGGACUGCGCAAGCGCAAAGCUUUAUCAAAGAAGCUGGAGGGUGACACACACCAAGGGGCGGCAAGCAUCUCUGCUUCGUCGUACAAUGAUAAUGAUGCAAUGAAAAGUGCGUACACACAAGAGUUCCUUUUCUGUGAGAAAGUCAAGGAGAAGCUAGAGCCUGAAGCUUACCAGGAGUUCUUGAAAUGCCUUCACAUAUACAGCCAGGAAAUAAUUACAAGAAGUGAAUUGAAAAAUCUGGUACAUGACAUACUUCAGCGCUACCCAGAGCUUAUGACUGGAUUUAGCGAGUUCUUGGAACACUGUGAAAACAUAGAUGGUUUUCUGGAUGGAGUCAUCAAUAAAAGGCAAACAUCACGAACAGUCAAGGCACUGGACAAAGAGAGAGAUAAAGGGCGUGCAGGGGAGGACAGGGAAAGAGAUGCUGAAAAACUGAGCGAAAAGGAACGAGAAAGGCUUGACAAAGUGUCUGCGCUCAAUUCUAAGGAAGCCACUACCCACAAAGCUGCUGCGUUCUCUGCCAAAGAGAAGUACCUAUGCAAGCCAAUAUCAGAGCUUGACCUCUCAAACUGUCAGCGGUGCACUCCCAGUUACCGGCUUCUGCCUAAAAAUUACCCUGUGCCUGCUUCAAGUUGCAGAACUGACCUUGGAAUCUCUGUGCUCAAUGAUCACUGGGUAUCAGUUACCUCAGGAAGCGAAGAUUAUUCAUUUAAACACAUGCGGAAGAAUCAGUAUGAAGAAAGCUUGUUUAGAUGCGAAGAUGACAGGUUUGAGUUGGACAUGCUGCUGGAAUCAGUUAAUGUGGCGAUUAAGCGUGUUGAGGAGUUGAUAGAAAAAAUGCAAGAAAAUUCAAUCAAACCAGACAGCCCUAUACGCAUCGAUGAACAUUUGACCUCUCUGAAUUUGAGGUGCAUAGAACGGCUAUAUGGUGACCAUGGCCUUGAUGUCAUGGAUGUUCUUCGUAAAAAUGCGAGUGUGGCAUUACCAGUUAUCUUAACUAGGCUUAAGCAAAAGCAGGAGGAAUGGUCAAGGUGCCGGUCAGAUUUUAACAAGGUUUGGGCUGAAAUAUAUGCCAAGAAUUAUCACAAGUCCCUUGACCAUCGCAGUUUCUAUUUCAAACAACAAGAUACGAAGAAUCUGAGCACAAGAGCUCUAUUGUCUGAGAUCAAAGAAAUUAAUGAGAAGAAAAGGAAAGAGGAUGAUGUGCUUCUUGCUAUUGCUGCUGGGAAUAGGCGGCCAAUAGUUCCCAAUAUGUCAUUUGAGUAUGUAGAUUCAGAAAUCCAUGAAGAUGUUUAUCAGAUCAUCAAGUACUCUUGUGGAGAAGUCUGCAGCUCUCCAGAUCAAGUUGACAAAGUGAUGAGAACCUGGACAACAUUUGUGGAACCUAUUCUGGGAGUUCAACCCCGAACACUUGCCGUUGAAGAUGCAGUCACUGUUAAGCAAGCUAAUGGAGAUGAAAGCAUUCCGAAGGAAAAAGCACAAUCUUCUCGUGGUUUAUUGGCGAAUGGAGUUUCAGAAGAUGCUCAAAAUGGUUUCCAUGAUGCUGAUCGAACUGUCCGCAGAGGCGAGGGGCCAUCUAACACUUCAUUACAUCAGACUGAACAGAAUCAGCGGAGAACAAAUAUGGAGCUUACGUCAGGUACUAAUUCUUCCAGAGGUAAUUUCUCCGGAAGUGAGGCUGUUGUUGAAGCUAUGGGUGGCAAUGAAACAAUUCCAUCUAUAGGGAGAGGAGAAGCUGGGAGGCCAGGAUCUGUGCCUCAGAAGAAUUCAAAGGUUGAAAGAGAAGAGGGAGAAUUAUCUCCUAAUGGGGAUUUUGAAGAGGAGAAUUUUGGGCCUCUAGGAAAUGCAGCUGGAGACGGAGCUUCAAAGCCGAAGGAAGUUUCUGCUGGUAGAGCUAGAGCAGCUGAGUUUGCUGGAGAGAAUGAUGCUGAUGCGGACGAUGAAGGUGACGAAAGUGCCCAGAGAUCUACAGAAAGUGAAAAUGCGUCUGGUAGUGAAUCUGGUGACGGCGAGGAGUGUUCUCGGGAAGAUAACGAGGACGAAGAGGAUGCUGAUCCUGAUGCUAAGGUUGAAAGUGAGGGUGAGGCAGAGGGAAACACAGAGGCACAUGAUGCCGACGGAGGGAUGUCACUACCGUUUUCAGAGCGUUUGCAUAAUACAGUUAGACCGCUCGCCAAGCAUGUCCCCACAGCUUUGCAGGAUCAUGGCGGGAAGUUUUCACGCAUAUUUUAUGGAAAUGAUUCAUUUUAUGUUCUGUUCAGGCUACACCAGAUCUUAUACGAGAGACUACUAUCAGCCAAGACAAACUCUUCCACGGCUGAAAAGAAGUGGAGAACUUCCAAGGAUACGAGCUCCCCACACCAAUACUCAAAGUUUAUGGGUGCACUUUAUAACUUGAUUGAUGGCUCUUCUGACAACACCAAAUUCGAGGACGACUGCCGUUCAAUCAUCGGGACUCAGUCCUAUGUUCUUUUUACAUUAGAUAAGCUGAUAUACAAAGUUGUGAAGCAGCUUCAAGCAAUAGCAGCUGAUGAAAUGGAUAACAAGCUGCUCCAGCUUUAUAUAUAUGAGAAGUCCAGGUCUCCUGGAAGGUUCUUUGAUCUGGUUUACCAUGAAAAUGCUCGGGUUCUUCUCCAUGACGAGAGCAUAUAUCGAUUUGAACGGCGCUCAAAUCCUACGAGAUUAUCUGUUCAGCUCAUGGAGUAUGGGCAUGAAAAGCCUGAAGUAACCGCAGUCUCAAUUGAUCCAAACUUUUCGUCAUAUCUUUAUGACGAGUACCUGUCGAGUAUUUCGGAUUCAAAGGUGUCUGAAGAUGUGUUCCUUGAGAGGAAUAAGCGGAAACGCGGGAGCAGCAAUGGCCCUCAAGCUUCGUUGGCGGUCAUGGAUGGUUUCAAGGUCGCGAAUGGCCUUGAAUGCAAGAUAACCUGCAAAUCCUCAAAGGUUUCGUAUGUCCUUGAUACAGAAGACUUUUUAUUCCGUAUGAGGAACAGGAGGAGAAUCUCGUCUGGUGCAACACCCGCCGCCGCACCUGGCAAGGCCGAUUUUGUCAAGGCAGCUGAUGUCGUGAAAGCGCAACGGUUUCAUAAAUUUCUUCUUUCUAGGUCCUAG